UGGAAGUAAAAGUCGUAACAAGGUUUCCGUAGGUGAACCUGCGGAAGGAUCAUUACCGAGUGAGGGCCCUCUGGGUCCAACCUCCCACCCGUGUUUAUUUUACCUUGUUGCUUCGGCGGGCCCGCCUUUACUGGCCGCCGGGGGGCUCACGCCCCCGGGCCCGCGCCCGCCGAAGACACCCUCGAACUCUGUCUGAAGAUUGAAGUCUGAGUGAAAAUAUAAAUUAUUUAAAACUUUCAACAACGGAUCUCUUGGUUCCGGCAUCGAUGAAGAACGCAGCGAAAUGCGAUACGUAAUGUGAAUUGCAAAUUCAGUGAAUCAUCGAGUCUUUGAACGCACAUUGCGCCCCCUGGUAUUCCGGGGGGCAUGCCUGUCCGAGCGUCAUUGCUGCCCUCAAGCCCGGCUUGUGUGUUGGGCCCCGUCCUCCGAUUCCGGGGGACGGGCCCGAAAGGCAGCGGCGGCACCGCGUCCGGUCCUCGAGCGUAUGGGGCUUUGUCACCCGCUCUGUAGGCCCGGCCGGCGCUUGCCGAUCAACCCAAAUUUUUAUCCAGGUUGACCUCGGAUCAGGUAGGGAUACCCGCUGAACUUAAGCAUAUCAAUAAGCGGAGGAA
This 611-nucleotide ribosomal RNA is filed under the name Penicillium verrucosum. RNAcentral's name for it is "eukaryotic LSU rRNA". The stretch from base 232 to 384 matches the Rfam family "5.8S ribosomal RNA". Lineage: Eukaryota; Fungi; Ascomycota; Eurotiomycetes; Eurotiales; Aspergillaceae. The record is from RNAcentral.